AGCAGCCGCGGUAAUUCCAGCUCCAAUAGCGUAUAUUAAAGUUGUUGCAGUUAAAAAGCUCGUAGUUGAAUUUCGGGGUCAGUAGGCUGGUCGUGCCACGGGUAUGUACUGGUCUCACUGAUUCCUCCUUCCUGAUGAACCGUAAUGCCAUUAAUUUGGUGUUGCGGGGAAUCUGGACUGUUACUUUGAAAAAAUUAGAGUGUUUAAAGCAGGCUAACGCUUGAAUACAUUAGCAUGGAAUAAUGAAAUAGGACGAUCGAUCCUAUUUUGUUGGUUUCUAGGAUUGACGUAAUGAUUAAUAGGGAUAGUUGGGGGCAUUAGUAUUCAAUUGUCAGAGGUGAAAUUCUUGGAUUUAUUGAAGACUAACUACUGCGAAAGCAUUUGCCAAGGAUGUUUUCAUUAAUCAAGAACGAAAGUUAGGGGAUCGAAGACGAUCAGAUACCGUCGUAGUCUUAACCAUAAACUAUGCCGACUAGGGAUCGGAUGAUGUUAAUUUUUUAAUGACUCAUUCGGCGCCUUA
This 520-nucleotide ribosomal RNA is filed under the name uncultured Glomus. RNAcentral describes it as "SSU rRNA". It matches the Rfam family "Eukaryotic small subunit ribosomal RNA", at positions 569 to 1090 of the family's 1831-position model. Lineage: Eukaryota; Fungi; Glomeromycota; Glomeromycetes; Glomerales; Glomeraceae. The record is from RNAcentral.